GAUGAACGCUGGCGGCGUGCCUAAUACAUGCAAGUCGAGCGAACAGACGAGGAGCUUGCUCCUCUGACGUUAGCGGCGGACGGGUGAGUAACACGUGGAUAACCUACCUAUAAGACUGGGAUAACUUCGGGAAACCGGAGCUAAUACCGGAUAAUAUAUUGAACCGCAUGGUUCAAUAGUGAAAGACGGUUUUGCUGUCACUUAUAGAUGGAUCCGCGCCGCAUUAGCUAGUUGGUAAGGUAACGGCUUACCAAGGCAACUAUGCGUAGCCGACCUGAGAGGGUGAUCGGCCACACUGGAACUGAGACACGGUCCAGACUCCUACGGGAGGCAGCAGUAGGGAAUCUUCCGCAAUGGGCGAAAGCCUGACGGAGCAACGCCGCGUGAGUGAUGAAGGUCUUCGGAUCGUAAAACUCUGUUAUUAGGGAAGAACAAAUGUGUAAGUAACUAUGCACGUCUUGACGGUACCUAAUCAGAAAGCCACGGCUAACUACGUG
Molecule: ribosomal RNA, 497 nt
Filed under: uncultured bacterium
Lineage: Bacteria
Description: partial 16S ribosomal RNA
Rfam family: Bacterial small subunit ribosomal RNA
Source: RNAcentral